AACGAACGCUGGCGGCAUGCCUAACACAUGCAAGUCGAACGAGACCUUCGGGUCUAGUGGCGCACGGGUGCGUAACGCGUGGGAACCUGCCCUUAGGUUCGGAAUAACUCCCCGAAAGGGGUGCUAAUACCGGAUAAUGUCUUCGGACCAAAGAUUUAUCGCCUUUGGAUGGGCCCGCGUUGGAUUAGCCAGUUGGUAGGGUAAAAGCCUACCAAGGCGACGAUCCAUAGCUGGUCUGAGAGGAUGAUCAGCCACACUGGGACUGAGACACGGCCCAGACUCCUACGGGAGGCAGGAGUGGGGAAUAUUGGAAAAUGGGCGAAAGGCUGAUCCAGCAAGGCCGCGUGAGUGAUGAAGGCCUUAGGGUUGUAAAGCUCUUUUACCCGGGAUGAUAAUGACAGUACCGGGAGAAUAAGCUCCGGCUAACUCCGUG
RNAcentral lists this ribosomal RNA (433 nucleotides) under uncultured bacterium. RNAcentral's name for it is "partial 16S ribosomal RNA". It matches the Rfam family "Bacterial small subunit ribosomal RNA", at positions 29 to 507 of the family's 1533-position model. The record is from RNAcentral.